This 468-nucleotide ribosomal RNA is filed under the name uncultured bacterium. RNAcentral's name for it is "partial 16S ribosomal RNA". It matches the Rfam family "Bacterial small subunit ribosomal RNA", at positions 28 to 507 of the family's 1533-position model. The record is from RNAcentral.
GACGAACGCUGGCGGCGUGCUUAACACAUGCGAGUCGAACGGAAAGGCCCUGCUUUUGUGGGGUGCUCGAGUGGCGAACGGGUGAGUAACACGUGAGUAACCUGCCCUUGACUUUGGGAUAACUUCAGGAAACUGGGGCUAAUACCGGAUAGGAGCUCCUGUUGCAUGGUGGGGGUUGGAAAGUUUCGGCGGUUGGGGAUGGACUCGCGGCUUAUCAGCUUGUUGGUGGGGUAGUGGCUUACCAAGGCUUUGACGGGUAGCCGGCCUGAGAGGGUGACCGGCCACAUUGGGACUGAGAUACGGCCCAGACUCCUACGGGAGGCAGCAGUGGGGAAUAUUGCACAAUGGGCGGAAGCCUGAUGCAGCAACGCCGCGUGCGGGAUGACGGCCUUCGGGUUGUAAACCGCUUUCGCCUGUGACGAAGCGUGAGUGACGGUAAUGGGUAAAGAAGCACCGGCUAACUACGUG